Molecule: transfer RNA, 74 nt
Filed under: bacterium
Lineage: Bacteria
Description: tRNA-Ile
Rfam family: tRNA
About the family: Transfer RNA (tRNA) molecules are approximately 80 nucleotides in length. Their secondary structure includes four short double-helical elements and three loops (D, anti-codon, and T loops).
Source: RNAcentral
GGACUCAUAGCUCAGCUGGUUAGAGCACCGCACUCAUAAUGCGUAGGUCGUAGGUUCGAGUCCUACUGGGUCCA